This 148-nucleotide small RNA is filed under the name Macaca fascicularis (crab-eating macaque). Its description in RNAcentral is "Metazoan signal recognition particle RNA (ENSMFAG00000050697.1)". The record is from Rfam by way of RNAcentral. Lineage: Eukaryota; Metazoa; Chordata; Mammalia; Primates; Cercopithecidae.
GCCAGGCAUGGUGGCACAUGCCUGUAAUCCCAGCUACUCGGGAGGCUGAGGCAGGUGAAUCACUUGAACCCAGGAGGCAGAGGUUGCAGUGAGCCAAGAUCGUACCACUGCACUCCAGCCUGGGUGACAGAGUGAGACUCUGUCUCAA